This 944-nucleotide ribosomal RNA is filed under the name uncultured bacterium. RNAcentral's name for it is "bacterial SSU rRNA". It matches the Rfam family "Bacterial small subunit ribosomal RNA", at positions 76 to 1013 of the family's 1533-position model. The record is from RNAcentral.
GUGCUUGCACCUGAUGGCGAGUGGCGAACGGGUGAGUAAUGUAUCGGAACAUAUCCGCAAGUGGGGGAUAACGUAGCGAAAGUUACGCUAAUACCGCAUAUUCCCUGAGGGGGAAAGGAGGGGAUCCGCAAGGACCUUUCGCUUACGGAGUGGCCGAUAUCAGAUUAGCUAGUUAAUGGGGUAAAGGCCUACCAAGGCGACGAUCUGUAGCGGGUCUGAGAGGAUGAUCCGCCACACUGGGACUGAGACACGGCCCAGACUCCUACGGGAGGCAGCAGUGGGGAAUUUUGGACAAUGGGGGCAACCCUGAUCCAGCCAUGCCGCGUGAGUGAAGAAGGCCUUCGGGUUGUAAAGCUCUUUCAGCUGGAAAAAAAUCGCAUCACCUAAUACGUGGUGUGGAUGAUGGUACCAGCAGAAGAAGCACUGGCUAACUACGUGCCAGCAGCCGCGGUAAUACGUAUGGUGCGAGCGUUAAUCGGAAUUACUGGGCGUAAAGCGUGCGCAGGCGGUUUUGUAAGACAGACGUGAAAUCCCCCGGCUUAACCUGGGAACUGUGUUUGUGACUGCUAGGCUAGAGUAUGAUAGAGGGGGGAAUAAUUCCACGUGUAGCAGUGAAAUGCGUAGGUAUGUGGAGGAAUACCGAUGGCGAAGGCAGCCCCCUGGGUCAAUACUGACGCUCAUGCACGAAAGCGUGGGGAGCAAACAGGAUUAGAUACCCUGGUAGUCCACGCCCUAAACGAUGUCAACUAGGUGUUGGGGGAGGAGACUUCCUUAGUACCGCAGCUAACGCGUGAAGUUGACCGCCUGGGAGUACGGUCGCAAGAUUAAAACUCAAAGGAAUUGACGGGGACCUGCACAAGCGGUGGAUGAUGUGGAUUAAUUCGAUGCAACGCGAAAAACCUUACCUACCCUUGACAUGUACGGAAGUCUGCCGAGAGGUGGAU